UAAGGAAUAUUGGUCAAUGGACGCAAGUCUGAACCAGCCAUGCCGCGUGAAGGAUUAAGGCCCUCUGGGUUGUAAACUUCUUUUAUAGGGGAAGAAAUGUGACGGUUCUCCGUCACUUGACGGUACCCUGGGAAUAAGCACCGGCUAACUCCGUGCCAGCAGCCGCGGUAAUACGGAGGGUGCAAGCGUUAUCCGGAUUCACUGGGUUUAAAGGGUGCGUAGGUGGGCAGAUAAGUCAGUGGUGAAAUCUUCCGGCUUAACCGGGAAACGGCCGUUGAUACUAUUUGUCUUGAAUAUUGCGGAGGUAAGCGGAAUAUGUCAUGUAGCGGUGAAAUGCUUAGAUAUGACAUAGAACACCAAUUGCGAAGGCAGCUUACUACACAAUCAUUGACACUGAGGCACGAAAGCGUGGGUAGCGAACA
RNAcentral lists this ribosomal RNA (422 nucleotides) under uncultured bacterium. Its description in RNAcentral is "bacterial SSU rRNA". It matches the Rfam family "Bacterial small subunit ribosomal RNA", at positions 355 to 774 of the family's 1533-position model. The record is from RNAcentral.